GGGGCUAUAGCUCAGGUGGUUAGAGCGCACCCCUGAUAAGGGUGAGGUCGCUAGUUCGAGUCUAGCUAGCCCCA
This 74-nucleotide transfer RNA is filed under the name Thermofilum sp. RNAcentral's name for it is "tRNA-Ile". It matches the Rfam family "tRNA". Rfam says of the family: Transfer RNA (tRNA) molecules are approximately 80 nucleotides in length. Their secondary structure includes four short double-helical elements and three loops (D, anti-codon, and T loops). Lineage: Archaea; Thermoproteati; Thermoproteota; Thermoprotei; Thermofilales; Thermofilaceae. RNAcentral also lists the same sequence under 9 other names. The record is from RNAcentral.